UUUUCCCUCCACCAUCCCAGAAUCUGUCGCCGCCAUCUCCACCGUCAUCGUCUUCUUCCCCUUCAUCGAUGCGAAGGCAAUGGAAGAUAAUCCCUAGGCCGUUGCUCGAGACCGUUCUCAAUAACCACGCCGGCCAUCCCAGAGUCGCAAACCCUCUCAUCCUCCACGGCCCUCGCGGCGUUGGCAAGAAAACCCUAAUCGUCCACAGGUUACUGGAUUCCUGGAACAGGCCACCACACGUUACAGCCUACGUGGACUUCAGCCGCCAGAAUGAUCCAUGGUUGUUGGAGGCGGGAUCCGUUAGCAUUGGGGAUCUUCGCUUGCAGCUCGAGCAAAGCCUCGAAUCCCUCGCGCAGAAAGCAGUCCGGCUUGGCUGCAUCGGCGGCAACGACGUGCUCUCCACCCUGAAGAAAUGGCACGGCAUCGAUGGCGCGCUUCGUCAGAUUUUGGGCAAGAAGGAGGUGAGCGGGAAGGAUUCGACUGCAGUAUUGUGGAGGAAGGCAAUACGCGCUGUCUCUUCCAGGGGAGUCGUUGGCGAUUGGGAGGAGCAGUAUCGAGAGCACCUCACGGAGCUCGGUGCCUGGAACGAUGCGUUGCAGCCUGGGAGCGGUGGCGUGCACGCUAGAAAUGUGGAAUUGCUCGGGACGGGGAAGCUUGAUUUGAAAUCAAUGGAGGAGCUGUCAUAUUUUAAGGAAACGAUGCUCUCUCUGCACUUGGCGAAAGAGGUGCUUUCUGUUCACGAGAGAUGGCGAGCAAAGGCUGUCGAGAACUUGAACCGUACGGGCGAGUACUCAAAUUCGUUGGCGAAUCUGUCGACAAAUUGGCCGUUGUUGCUGCUGGACCUCUUGUCUGCUGCAGCUCACAUGGGGUAUUUCCAGCCGAAGCUAGUGAUGAACAAUAUAGAUGUUCUUCGGAAGGCAAACUUAGCUGGCUCCUGUCCAAUGGUACCUGCAGACAUGUACCACGAUAGCCUGCUUUGGAGGCUAAUUGCUUUGGGCGUGAAUGAGAGAUUCCUGCCUAUCAUGCUUGUGACCUCAGACGGAUAUUAUUCAUACCAGGUAUUUAGGGAUUUUGGCUAUUCUGAGCUGUUCAUCUCCCGUGAGACAUUUGGGUGGACACCGAAGGAGGCCAAAAUGCACAUGGUCACUGACUUCUUUAGUGAAGCUGAGUGGAAGACCAUUGUUGAUGUGGUGGGUUCGAAUCCUCGGCAUCUUUCUGACCUCUUUACCCUCAAGCAAGCCAUUCAUGAAAGCAUGACCUUGAAGGCUAUUAAAGAUGGUGAUUUUGAUGACACUGUAGAUCUGUACCUAUCAUAUUUACAGGUUACUGUGGUGAACCGUGGCAUAGAAGCAGCAUUGCUCAUCUUAGAAAGAUUUGCACUUGAUGCAUAUAAUGGAAAAAUUUCUAAAGACAUAUUAUGUUUUGGAUCCCCUUGGAGGCACCCACCACGUGCAGAUAAUAAGUUAGUGCGGUUACAGUGGGCCAAGCUUCAAAUGAUGGAUUUCAUUCAAUCCCUCGUAAAUGCUGAAUUUGGAGUAAACUAUUUGGGCGAAUCUAGUUUUGAAAUACUGGAAGACCCUUGUGUUACUGCAUUGAUGGAGGUCGGUUUGCUGUAUAUACAGCGGGAUCCUGCUUACAUUCGUCCUGUUUCCCGUGCCAUACAGAGGUGCUUUGUAAGAUGGCUUGUGCAGGAAAGAAUGCAGAUGAGCCUUAAACAGUCAUUCUUGUUUAAGUGGCACCGCAUCAUUCGGGGGAGAAGUUAUCGACAUCUAAUGAGGAAGUAGGACUAUCGUAUUUGAAAAAGAAAGUAGGCAGUUCCAUCAUUGUAGUACCCUUCUUCUACGAAAAAGCUCAGUCAAGAUGGGAAUGAGCCUUGGCGUGCUAGCUCCAGCCCCGGCUAUGCGUCAGUGACGUGCCAUGUUCUUUCCUACAUGCUGGCGUUCCAGGAAGUAGUAUGCGUAUCGAUUACCUUUUAGGAUGUUUCGAUUGUUUUCGCAAGUUGUCCCAUAGGACUGACGUCAAGUUUUUUAGUGUCGAAGUAACCAGCUUCUUUUACUAAAAGCUUGCUUCCCAUUUUCCUAAAAAAAAAAAGAACUUCCGACUUGGUCUUGUAUCACAUUCGAUUGUUUUGACAUAUCACGUGCACUUCUAAUCUCACAUGCCGUGUCCACCUCUAGUUAUGAAAUGGUUGAUUUUGUUCUUAAGUUAAGCAAGUUUUUUUUUUUCUUUUUUUUAACCCAUAAAUGAAAUUGGAAACCAUAGAGAUCUCAAACCGGUCUCGUUCAUUCAAUUUCAUAUACUCGAUGCAAUCAAGAAUCCGAUUUAUUCUUCAGGAGGUGGGAGUCCCUUAAUAGCUAGGGGGUUAUCUAACAUGAGAGGAAUUUCUUUGGCCUGGCAAAGAGAAGUUAUUUGAAGAUUAAGGCUGCAAAUAGAUUAUGUUAAUCUGAUGUGUUAUUCUUAGAUUUAGAUCAUAAAAGCAGAUUUGAACCUUUUAAGCAUUCACUUAGAUCAUAUUCGAAUUUGAUUUGAAUCAGUAUGCUUAGUUGAACCCCGUUGACAUCUGAAGUCUUGGAAAUGCAAUUUUCUCCUGGUGUUCAUCCAAUUUUUAUAGGCCAAAUUUGGAACAUGUAUUUCGGUCUCAGAUUCAGCUCGCUGCCUGGUAGGUGGGUGAUGCUGAGAAGUGACCAGCUUAUGAGAUGCUUGUUCAUGAUAGUUCUUCUACGAUGACAAGGGUGAGCCUGAUCACCAAGCUUUACGGACAACAUGUUGGUAACUUCUUGAUAGGCUUUGCUAUGCAAAAUUUAGUUCAUUAAUACAUAAAAAUGACCAAGCAUGACGUGCGGCUGCUCACCAUGUUAUCAGUAUGCGUGUCUUGCAUGCACACGUUUGCCCAAUUUUACAUUUAUCUCACAGAUUAUAUUCUCAUAUAUGUUUUACAGAUUCAUGGUACACAUUAUGCAGGGAAUUCAAAUUGCGUGGCUGUCAUCUGGGCUAUCUUCUGUUUUAAGUAUUUUCUUCAAAAUGUCAAAAAAUGUAGAAAUAGUAAAACAAAUCCAAUAUCCAGAUCAAAUAUUAUGCCUCAAGAAAUCUAACCUAAAAUCG
RNA transcript from Nymphaea colorata (pocket water lily), 3102 nucleotides. RefSeq lists it as uncharacterized. The transcript is spliced from 12 exons. Lineage: Eukaryota; Viridiplantae; Streptophyta; Magnoliopsida; Nymphaeales; Nymphaeaceae. The record is from RefSeq and is a predicted model, not a curated record.